UACGUAGGUGGCAAGCGUUGUCCGGAUUUACUGGGCGUAAAGGGCGUGCAGGCGGUUUGUUAAGUCUAGGGUGAAAGCUCCCGGCUCAACUGGGAGAGGUCCUUGGAUACUGGCAGACUUGAGGAGGGUAGAGGAGAGUGGAAUUCCCGGUGUAGUGGUGAUAUGCGUAGAUAUCGGGAGGAACACCAGUGGCGAAGGCGGCUCUCUGGGCCCUACCUGACGCUGAGACGCGAAAGCGUGGGGAGCAAACAGG
This 253-nucleotide ribosomal RNA is filed under the name uncultured bacterium. Its description in RNAcentral is "partial 16S ribosomal RNA". It matches the Rfam family "Bacterial small subunit ribosomal RNA", at positions 524 to 776 of the family's 1533-position model. The record is from RNAcentral.